GACGAACGCUGGCGGCGUGCUUAACACAUGCAAGUCGAACGGUAAGGCCUUCGGGUACACGAGUGGCGAACGGGUGAGUAACACGUGGGUGAUCUGCCCUGCACUUCGGGAUAAGCCUGGGAAACUGGGUCUAAUACCGGAUAUGACUUCUGGCUUCAUGGUUGGGAGUGGAAAGCUUUUGCGGUGUGGGAUGGGCCCGCGGCCUAUCAGCUUGUUGGUGGGGUAAUGGCCUACCAAGGCGACGACGGGUAGCCGGCCUGAGAGGGUGUCCGGCCACACUGGGACUGAGAUACGGCCCAGACUCCUACGGGAGGCAGCAGUGGGGAAUAUUGCACGAUGGGCGCAGGCCUGAUGCAGCGACGCCGCGUGGGGGAUGACGGCCUUCGGGUUGUAAACCUCUUUCGGUAGGGACGAAGCGCAAGUGACGGUACCUACAGAAGAAGCACCGGCCAACUACGUGCCAGCAGCCGCGGUAA
This 476-nucleotide ribosomal RNA is filed under the name uncultured bacterium. Its description in RNAcentral is "partial 16S ribosomal RNA". It matches the Rfam family "Bacterial small subunit ribosomal RNA", at positions 28 to 523 of the family's 1533-position model. The record is from RNAcentral.